AUGCUUUUCCUAAAGAUUUAGCCAUGCAUGCCUAAGACUAUGAGGAAGCAAUUCUCUCUGAAUCUGCGAACGGCUCCGCAAACCAGUUGUAAACCAUAGCAGUGUUCCGCCCGGCUUCAGCAAUGGGGUCGGGCAUUAUAUGGAUAACCGUGGUAAUUCUGAGGCUAAUACAUGACACACUAACCCUGGCGGGCUGGGGCAACCCGGCUUGCUGGGGGACGUGCGAAAUCGGCAAUGCUAUAACGAACAAUCGGGAAUGAGCG
This 263-nucleotide ribosomal RNA is filed under the name uncultured Stemonitis sp. RNAcentral describes it as "partial 18S ribosomal RNA". It matches the Rfam family "Eukaryotic small subunit ribosomal RNA", at positions 28 to 247 of the family's 1831-position model. Lineage: Eukaryota; Evosea; Eumycetozoa; Stemonitida. The record is from RNAcentral.